This 253-nucleotide ribosomal RNA is filed under the name uncultured bacterium. RNAcentral's name for it is "partial 16S ribosomal RNA". It matches the Rfam family "Bacterial small subunit ribosomal RNA", at positions 524 to 776 of the family's 1533-position model. The record is from RNAcentral.
UACGUAGGGGGCAAGCGUUAUCCGGAAUUACUGGGUGUAAAGGGAGCGUAGACGGUAAUGUAAGUCUGGAGUGAAAGGCGGGGGCCCAACCCCCGGACUGCUCUGGAAACUAUGUUACUAGAGUGCAGGAGAGGUAAGCGGAAUUCCUAGUGUAGCGGUGAAAUGCGUAGAUAUUAGGAGGAACACCAGUGGCGAAGGCGGCUUACUGGACUGUAACUGACGUUGAGGCUCGGAAGCGUGGGGAGCAAACAGG